AAGGAUCUCCUUGGGAGGCCCAGCUGAGCACUGUAGCCCCUCGGACCACUGUCUCCCAGAUCAAUCUUGGGCAAAGAACGAGAGCGGAAACCAGGAGAGCUCCGGCUUCUCGGGACUUCUGGGCCUGAGGUGGUGGCUGAGCCGGCGGAGGAGGCAGGAACCCGUUGUCCCGAAGGCCUGUGGCCUCUGCCUCCACAGGUGUUACCAAGAGUGACUUACACACAGGUGAGACAAGGACAGGCUGAGGGUAUCACUUUCUUCUACCACCCCUGUGCCCACCUCUGGCUGAAGCUCCAGCUUGCUGUCUUGGCCCAUUUGUGUGUGGCUAAGCCCACACUCAUUCCUGACUUCAGUCUCCCUUGGGACCGGCCCUUGGUGCUGACAGCAUGGGGGACUGCACUGGAGAUGGCUUGGAUAGAGCCAGCCUGGGCUGCCCAAUGGCUGAAGAGGCAGUGGCGGCGACGGAGGCGGAAGCAGAGAAAGAGUGUGUGGUUUCUCUCUGACAAUCUUUUUGGGCCCACUCCCAUGAUGCCAGCCCCCAGAAGAGGGAAGCUGUGUGGGAGACGCUGUGUACAGGCCCCGACUCUGGCUUUUGCUCUGCGGAGCUGGCGACCUCCUGGUGUAGAGGUGACAUCUAGAGGACCCAGGAGGUCCUCACUCAGUGUUGUCAAGAAAAGGGGUCUCCGUGCUGCCCUUGGUCUACAAUCCACUCC
RNAcentral lists this long non-coding RNA (713 nucleotides) under Rattus norvegicus (Norway rat). Its description in RNAcentral is "long non-coding RNA NONRATT004566". Lineage: Eukaryota; Metazoa; Chordata; Mammalia; Rodentia; Muridae. The record is from RNAcentral.